RNAcentral lists this transfer RNA (92 nucleotides) under Deltaproteobacteria bacterium. Its description in RNAcentral is "tRNA-Ser". It matches the Rfam family "tRNA". Rfam says of the family: Transfer RNA (tRNA) molecules are approximately 80 nucleotides in length. Their secondary structure includes four short double-helical elements and three loops (D, anti-codon, and T loops). Further hydrogen bonds mediate the characteristic L-shaped molecular structure. tRNAs have two regions of fundamental functional importance: the anti-codon, which is responsible for specific mRNA codon recognition, and the 3' end, to which the tRNAs corresponding amino acid is attached (by aminoacyl-tRNA synthetases). tRNAs cope with the degeneracy of the genetic code in two manners: having more than one tRNA (with a specific anti-codon) for a particular amino acid; and 'wobble' base-pairing, i.e. permitting non-standard base-pairing at the 3rd anti-codon position. Lineage: Bacteria; Pseudomonadati; Myxococcota; Myxococcia. The record is from RNAcentral. RNAcentral also lists the same sequence under 2 other names.
GGAGAGAUGGCUGAGUGGUCGAAAGCACCGGUCUUGAAAACCGGCAGGGCACUUAGUUGCCCUCGAGAGUUCGAAUCUCUCUCUCUCCGCCA